Molecule: ribosomal RNA, 429 nt
Filed under: Gemmatimonadota bacterium
Lineage: Bacteria; Pseudomonadati; Gemmatimonadota
Description: Gemmatimonadetes bacterium partial 16S ribosomal RNA
Rfam family: Bacterial small subunit ribosomal RNA
Source: RNAcentral
UAGGGAAUCUUCGGCAAUGGACGAAAGUCUGACCGAGCAACGCCGCGUGAGUGAUGAAGGUUUUCGGAUCGUAAAACUCUGUUGUUAGAGAAGAACAAGGACGUUAGUAACUGAACGUCCCCUGACGGUAUCUAACCAGAAAGCCACGGCUAACUACGUGCCAGCAGCCGCGGUAAUACGUAGGUGGCAAGCGUUGUCCGGAUUUAUUGGGCGUAAAGCGAGCGCAGGCGGUUUCUUAAGUCUGAUGUGAAAGCCCCCGGCUCAACCGGGGAGGGUCAUUGGAAACUGGGAGACUUGAGUGCAGAAGAGGAGAGUGGAAUUCCAUGUGUAGCGGUGAAAUGCGUAGAUAUAUGGAGGAACACCAGUGGCGAAGGCGGCUCUCUGGUCUGUAACUGACGCUGAGGCUCGAAAGCGUGGGGAGCAAACAGG